RNAcentral lists this non-coding RNA (25 nucleotides) under Mus musculus (house mouse). The record is from RNAcentral. Lineage: Eukaryota; Metazoa; Chordata; Mammalia; Rodentia; Muridae.
UACUCUCAUCCACGCACAGCAGGCC